RNAcentral lists this ribosomal RNA (303 nucleotides) under uncultured bacterium. RNAcentral describes it as "partial 16S ribosomal RNA". It matches the Rfam family "Bacterial small subunit ribosomal RNA", at positions 507 to 807 of the family's 1533-position model. The record is from RNAcentral.
AGCAGUAGCCACGGGAAUACGAAGGGUGCAAGCGUUAAUCGGAAUUACUGGGCGUAAAGCGUGCGUAGGCGGUGAGUUAAGUCUGCUGUGAAAUCCCCGGGCUCAACCUGGGAAUGGCAGUGGAUACUGGCUCGCUAGAGUGUGUCAGAAGAUGGUGGAAUUCCCGGUGUAGCGGUGAAAUGCGUAGAGAUCGGGAGGAACAUCAGUGGCGAAGGCGGCCAUCUGGGACAACACUGACGCUGAGGCACGAAAGCGUGGGGAGCAAACAGGAUUAGAUACCCCAGUAGUCCCUGUCUCUUAUAC